GCCUUUGUGGAGUAACGCGAACUCGCUCCCCGCGUUUGCGUAGAAGUUCCGAUGCUUAUCCUGGGAGAGUCGGUGGUUCAACUCCACCCGAGGGCA
This is a non-coding RNA of Mycena vitilis, 96 nucleotides long. NCBI's taxonomy places the organism in Eukaryota, Fungi, Basidiomycota, Agaricomycetes, Agaricales, Mycenaceae. The record is from the annotation of a GenBank genome assembly.